GUCCACGCCCUAAACGAUGAUUACUCGAUGUUAGCGAUAUACAGUUAGCGUCAAAGCGAAAGCGUUAAGUAAUCCACCUGGGGAGUACGCCGGCAACGGUGAAACUCAAAGGAAUUGACGGGGGCCCGCACAAGCGGAGGAGCAUGUGGUUUAAUUCGAUGAUACGCGAGGAACCUUACCCGGGCUUGAAAGUUAGUGAAUGAUACAGAAAUGUAUCAGUCCGCAAGGACACGAAACUAGGUGCUGCAUGGCUGUCGU
RNAcentral lists this ribosomal RNA (258 nucleotides) under uncultured bacterium. RNAcentral describes it as "partial 16S ribosomal RNA". It matches the Rfam family "Bacterial small subunit ribosomal RNA", at positions 793 to 1055 of the family's 1533-position model. The record is from RNAcentral.